This 465-nucleotide ribosomal RNA is filed under the name Vreelandella stevensii. Its description in RNAcentral is "partial 16S ribosomal RNA". It matches the Rfam family "Bacterial small subunit ribosomal RNA", at positions 338 to 795 of the family's 1533-position model. The record is from RNAcentral. Lineage: Bacteria; Pseudomonadati; Pseudomonadota; Gammaproteobacteria; Oceanospirillales; Halomonadaceae.
CCUACAGGGGGCAGCAGUGGGGAAUAUUGGACAAUGGGGGCAACCCUGAUCCAGCCAUGCCGCGUGUGUGAAGAAGGCCCUCGGGUUGUAAAGCACUUUCAGUGAGGAAGAACGCCUGGUGGUUAAUACCCAUCAGGAAAGACAUCACUCACAGAAGAAGCACCGGCUAACUCCGUGCCAGCAGCCGCGGUAAUACGGAGGGUGCGAGCGUUAAUCGGAAUUACUGGGCGUAAAGCGCGCGUAGGUGGCUUGAUAAGCCGGUUGUGAAAGCCCCGGGCUCAACCUGGGAACGGCAUCCGGAACUGUCAAGCUAGAGUGCAGGAGAGGAAGGUAGAAUUCCCGGUGUAGCGGUGAAAUGCGUAGAGAUCGGGAGGAAUACCAGUGGCGAAGGCGGCCUUCUGGACUGACACUGACACUGAGGUGCGAAAGCGUGGGUAGCAAACAGGAUUAGAUACCCUAGUAGUC